GAUGAACGCUGGCGGCGUGCCUAAUACAUGCAAGUCGAGCGAACAGACGAGGAGCUUGCUCCUCUGACGUUAGCGGCGGACGGGUGAGUAACACGUGGAUAACCUACCUAUAAGACUGGGAUAACUUCGGGAAACCGGAGCUAAUACCGGAUAAUAUAUUGAACCGCAUGGUUCAAUAGUGAAAGACGGUUUUGCUGUCACUUAUAGAUGGAUCCGCGCCGCAUUAGCUAGUUGGUAAGGUAACGGCUUACCAAGGCAACGAGGCGUAGCCGACCUGGGAGGGUGAGCGCCAACACGGGAACGGAGCAACGGCCAAGACUCCUAAGGGGGGCAGCAGAGGGGAAUCUUCAGCAAGGGGCAAAGCCAGGAGGGACAAACGCGGCGGGAGUAAGAAAGGUCUUAGGAUCAAAAAACUUGUUUAUAGGGAAAAAAAAAAGGUGAAAAAAACUAGGCACGUCUUGACGGAACAUAAUAAAAAAGCAACGGCAAACUACGUC
RNAcentral lists this ribosomal RNA (497 nucleotides) under uncultured bacterium. Its description in RNAcentral is "partial 16S ribosomal RNA". It matches the Rfam family "Bacterial small subunit ribosomal RNA", at positions 28 to 507 of the family's 1533-position model. The record is from RNAcentral.